AGGAUGAACGCUGGCGGCGUGCUUAACACAUGCAAGUCGAACGAUGACUUCUGUGCUUGCACAGAAUGAUUAGUGGCGAACGGGUGAGUAACACGUGAGUAACCUGCCCUUAACUUCGGGAUAAGCCUGGGAAACCGGGUCUAAUACCGGAUACGACCUCCUGGCGCAUGCCAUGGUGGUGGAAAGCUUUAGCGGUUUUGGAUGGACUCGCGGCCUAUCAGCUUGUUGGUUGGGGUAAUGGCCCACCAAGGCGACGACGGGUAGCCGGCCUGAGAGGGUGACCGGCCACACUGGGACUGAGACACGGCCCAGACUCCUACGGGAGGCAGCAGUGGGGAAUAUUGCACAAUGGGCGAAAGCCUGAUGCAGCGACGCCGCGUGAGGGAUGACGGCCUUCGGGUUGUAAACCUCUUUCAGCAGGGAAGAAGCGAAAGUGACGGUACCUGCAGAAGAAG
Molecule: ribosomal RNA, 455 nt
Filed under: Arthrobacter luteolus
Lineage: Bacteria; Bacillati; Actinomycetota; Actinomycetes; Micrococcales; Micrococcaceae
Description: bacterial SSU rRNA
Rfam family: Bacterial small subunit ribosomal RNA
Source: RNAcentral